AUACGGAGGGGGCUAGCGUUGUUGGGAUUUACUGGGCGUAAAGCGCGCGUAGGCGGGCUGGUUAGUUGGGGGUGAAAUCCCAGGGCUUAACCCUGGAACUGCCCUCAAUACUGCCAGUCUUGAGUUCGAGAGAGGUAAGUGGAAUUCCUAGUGUAGAGGUGAAAUUCGUAGAUAUUAGGAAGAACACCAGUGGCGAAGGCGGCUUACUGGCUCGAUACUGACGCUGAGGCGCGAAAGCGUGGGGAGCAAACAGGAUUAGAAACCCCUGUAGUCC
This 274-nucleotide ribosomal RNA is filed under the name uncultured bacterium. RNAcentral's name for it is "partial 16S ribosomal RNA". It matches the Rfam family "Bacterial small subunit ribosomal RNA", at positions 523 to 796 of the family's 1533-position model. The record is from RNAcentral.